GGAUGUGAAGGCGACCUGGCUGUGAACUGUCACCCGCUGAUGGCCAGGGUUGACUCGCCAGGGCAUCCCCCUCCCUCACUGCUCCAUCGCCUCCCUCCCAAAGCUGUACACUCAGUCGAAGAGCAAAAUCUUCCCCAAAUGAGAAGGACCAGUCUCCUGUCCAGGGCAUAUGCUC
Molecule: small nuclear RNA, 175 nt
Filed under: Myotis davidii
Lineage: Eukaryota; Metazoa; Chordata; Mammalia; Chiroptera; Vespertilionidae
Description: 7SK RNA
Rfam family: 7SK RNA
About the family: 7SK was discovered as an abundant small nuclear RNA in the mid-70s but a possible function has only recently been suggested. Two independent studies have found that 7SK RNA binds the CDK9/cyclin T complex (known as elongation factor P-TEFb).
Source: Rfam by way of RNAcentral